RNAcentral lists this ribosomal RNA (2940 nucleotides) under Triticum aestivum (bread wheat). RNAcentral's name for it is "partial small subunit ribosomal RNA". The record is from RNAcentral. Lineage: Eukaryota; Viridiplantae; Streptophyta; Magnoliopsida; Poales; Poaceae.
AUGCUGCGCGGCGGCGCCGGACCGCGAGGAGGAGGAGGAGGAGCUGCGGCGGCGUCGUCGGCGGCGAGGCCCCCUCGCUGCCCGCACCCCCGCCCCGCGCCGCGCCGAGCGCGAGCGACGGCGGGAGGUCUGGAGCCGAAGGGCGUCGCCGUCUCGGUGCUGGAGGAUCCGGUGGUGUCUUCCGUCGAGGAAUCCUCCUUCACAUUUGAGUUCAAGAGAGGGUCCAAGAGGGCGAGGAAGGGGAUGCCGCCGGCAGAAGUGCAUAGAGGCAAAGAGAACUGGCAUGGAGAGGGAGUCACUAACAAACAGAACAUGGCUGCUGCAAAGUCACACAUGACGAAAGAGGGGCCAGAAGAGGUGGAGUUCACGCACUGCGCGCCCAGCAUCGUUGCGAGGCUGAUGGGUCUCGAGACCGUGCCGAGGUCCAAGAAGGUUCUUGACCGGUGCCAGAGUGACAUCCAGAGCAACCCACGGCUGAAGUUAUCCGGACGUGCUGAGGAAGUGGCCCGGGUUUCAUGCGAGGAUCGGCCAUGCCGGAGCAGUGGCGACGAGCUGCCGGAACUGAAGGAUGUUUUCGAGGUGACCGAGAUGGAGAACAUGGCGACGCGCAAGGCGUUGCAGUCAGGCAAGGAGAUGCCACGCCCAAGAAGCAAUGAUGCUGAUCUUGAGUUCGUGAGGCAGAAGUUCUUGGAUGCAAAGCGCCUUUCCACCGACGAAGGCCACAGGAAUUCCAAGGAGUUUGGUGAGGCACUUGAGAUACUGUACUCCAAGAAGGAUGUUUUCCUUGAAAUCCUUCAGGAGAGCAGUGUUGCCUUGUCAGGGUUCCCAGGGCACAUCCUUGGUUACAGUGGUUUGCAGUGCUCCCCCCAUGGAAGCAAUGGUGCUGGUGCACAAUCGUUUGGGCAGGACAACCUUUGCAGAAUGGAAGCUGACAGUGAGUCCGAGGGUCCUCUUUCUAGUGUGCAUCUCGAAGAUGUGCCACUGGAGCAUUCGGCACCAAAAGGGAGCAGGCGUUCAAGGAGGCCCUCGCAAAUUGUUGUUCUGAAACCAGACCCUCAGAGGAGAAGUUCUACACCGGUUAUAGCAAGCCAAGAAACAUCGCAGUUUGGUCAGUGGACUGGUGCACGGUGGUUGAAGCCGCCACGCCAUAGUCUGCAUAAGCAAGAUGGCAUACAUUCUAUGGCACAUGGCAGUGUCCAAGUUUCAGAGCCAGAAGGAGAUACACCUGAACAGAAGCUUAGAAUACAAACCUCUAGAAGAGGUAGCAGGAAGAAACCAUCUGAGAAUGAGUGCUACCUUGGAGUUGGCUGUCAAAGGGAAAAGGCUGCUUCCACUUCUCAUGAUGAGACUUCGUCAAUUUCUUCAUCCACGCAUUCUGCUGGAUCAUCGGUGAGCAGAAAGGCCAGAAAGCACCUCUCUGAAAGAUGGCAAAUGGCCUGCCAAUCCAAAGCUGAAAAUCCAGUUCCUACUGAUACAAGAACAUUAGGUGAGAUGCUUGAACUCACUGCUAGAGAUGCAACGAAAGUAACCACCCAAAAGCGUUUGUCAGAUUCAAACACCAAUUCCAGUAAUGCGCAAGAGAUGCCGGCCAGCCCUCUUGGUAUUAGCAGCAAAGAUGGUUGGAAGACAGGGAUUUACCGUGGCGAUAAUUCAAGAAGUGGCAUAUCAAGGAAUUUUCCCAGGUCCAAGUCUCUCCCAACCUCAUCUACCACUGUUGCAAAAUUACCGGGCAGGAGGCGCUCUGCACCUAACUUGCCCAUUCUGAAGGACAUAUUGAAUACACCCACUGAUGAUACUGGGAAUGGACUUCUCAGGAAGAGAUUACCAAUCAGAAAAGCCAAGCAGAAUGGGCGAGUUAUCAUUCAUGUAGGAAAGGAAAAUAUGCUACCUGAGAAAGAGAUUUAUGUAACUUCAGAGAGAACAAGACACAGUAUCUGCACUUCUGAUCUACCCAGGACAAGCAACACAUAUAAUGAGCAUCCAGGUGAUGUUAUCAGUAUUGAGGAUCACACAGCAAUUGAUUUGGCUAUUCCACAUGAGGAUGUGCAAAAUUUGAAAGGUCAGGCAGGGUGGAAAGAGCAAAAGCUAGCAACACCGUUACCGGAGGCAGAAGACAUAGUAAUUCAUGAUCAGGAUAUCAUAACAUUGAAGGAGGUGAAAAGCCAACUAAUGGAGAGUGACAUUGCUGAAAUUGAUCACCAAGCAGUAAAGUCUGCUUAUUCUGUAAGCGCUGAGAGUUGCGAAUGCUCAAGUCCAACUGCUUCAUCGCAACAAAGUUCUGGAGAAGAGUCUACUUAUUCUGGAAUCUUCAAAAGUGUCAAUGAUGGUAUUCAAGGACUCAGAGCUCAACUUAAGAUGCUGAAGAUGGGCGACCAAGUUGAUACACGCAAAGAUGAUUCGGAUGCAUACUCGAGCGAUGAGUGCGACGAUACAGACAUUUCAGAUUACCAGGUGAAGGAAGAGCAGCUACCCAUAUUUAAGGAUGAGGAGGACAGGGACUGCACUUAUGUCCAGGAGAUGCUUGGCACUGCGUGUGGCUUUCCAGUCUACCCAGAGCAGUGGCAGUUCAGCUCAGAUGUGUUCGUAUGGCUGGAAAACAAGUACAGCAAGCUGCUCCUGUGGUCGAAAUCAGACAGGAAGCUUCUUUUCGAUCUCGUUAACUCAAUCUUAGCUGAUAUGACGGCUCCCGGCAGCAGCCUAUGUUCAAAAAUCAUGAUGAACUCCUGGCCUCAAAUGGAUUGGAGAAAGUUAGCUGAAAAUGUCUGGCAAACGGCAGUACUCAUGAGAAGGAGCUAUCAUCCAUUUGAUUUGGACAGUGUUGAGCCUUUGCCCCUGGACCAUCACCCUGAACUUAAAAUGUUCGGAGCAGACAUUGCUGAAAUGAUACGUGACGACGUUCUGGAAGAGCUUGUGGCCGAACUCGCGUCGCAUAUCAACUGA